Molecule: long non-coding RNA, 346 nt
Filed under: Mus musculus (house mouse)
Lineage: Eukaryota; Metazoa; Chordata; Mammalia; Rodentia; Muridae
Description: long non-coding RNA chr15:36771582-36771928
Source: RNAcentral
UCAAAAUUGGUAAAAGCCCAUUAGCUGCCAAGAGGGAAUAAGGAGACAAUUUCCUUUGGAGAAGUCUCAAAACCAAAAGACUAAUUUACAUGAAAAGCUGUAGAGAAAAGUAGUUGAAAAGUCCAUUCAUAAAACUUUUAUUCCACUUACAUGAACUUUAAUACAUGUGUUCUUAACAAUUAUGCUUGGAUUGUUCAUGAAAAUUUCUUAAGACAUUAAAACAAAGCUAGCCGUCAUCUCAAGUUAUUUCCCUGUUAACUAUUUUUACAGCACAUGCAUGUUAGGCAAGUAUCAAAAAGAAAAAAAAAAAAUCACAAAAGCAAAAACAAAACAAAACAAAAAACUU